RNAcentral lists this ribosomal RNA (301 nucleotides) under uncultured bacterium. Its description in RNAcentral is "partial 16S ribosomal RNA". It matches the Rfam family "Bacterial small subunit ribosomal RNA", at positions 509 to 807 of the family's 1533-position model. The record is from RNAcentral.
CAGUAGCCACGGGAAUACGUAGGGUGCAAGCGUUAAUCUGAAUUACUGGGCGUAAAGCGUGCGCAGGCGGUUUUGUAAGACAGAUGUGAAAUCCCCGGGCUCAACCUGGGAACUGCAUUUGUGACUGUAUAGCUAGAGUACGGCAGAGGGGGAUGGAAUUCCGCGUGUAGCAGUGAAAUGCGUAGAUAUGCGGAGGAACACCGAUGGCGAAGGCAAUCCCCUGGGCCUGUACUGACGCUCAUGCACGAAAGCGUGGGGAGCAAACAGGAUUAGAUACCCCUGUAGUCCCUGUUUCUUAUAC